RNAcentral lists this small nuclear RNA (110 nucleotides) under Setaria italica (foxtail millet). RNAcentral describes it as "U5 spliceosomal RNA". It matches the Rfam family "U5 spliceosomal RNA". Rfam says of the family: U5 RNA is a component of both types of known spliceosome. Lineage: Eukaryota; Viridiplantae; Streptophyta; Magnoliopsida; Poales; Poaceae. The record is from Rfam by way of RNAcentral. RNAcentral also lists the same sequence under 1 other name.
AGCUGCGUGGUGAGCACAAAGCCAACUAUUCUUUCAAAAGAGUACCGUGCGCUCGCCACACAAAGCAGCAUACGCUUGUUUUUGGAGGGUACCCUCUCUCGCGAGUGGGU